Molecule: transfer RNA, 70 nt
Filed under: Loxodonta africana (African savanna elephant)
Lineage: Eukaryota; Metazoa; Chordata; Mammalia; Proboscidea; Elephantidae
Rfam family: tRNA
About the family: Transfer RNA (tRNA) molecules are approximately 80 nucleotides in length.
Source: Rfam by way of RNAcentral
UCAAUGGUGGUUCAGUGGUAGAAUUCUCACCUUCCGUGUGGGAGACCCAGUUUGAUUCCUGGCCAAUGCA